CCCUUAGAUGUCCUGGGCUGCACGCGCGCUACACUGAUGUGUCCAGUAAGCACCUAACCUCUUCCGAAAGGAACGGGUAACCUUUGCAAAGCACAUCGUGAUGGGGAUAGAUUAUUGCAAUUAUUAGUCUUGAACGAGGAAUUCCUAGUAAGCACAAGUCAUCAGCUUGUGUUGAUUACGUCCCUGCCCUUUGUACACACCGCCCGUCGCUCCUGCCGAUUGAAUGUUCCGGUGAGCUCUUCGGACUGCGCGGUCUGCAGUUUCUGCGUUCCGUGCGGAAAGUUGCGCAAACCUUAACAUUUAGAGGAAGGAGAAGUCGUAACG
Molecule: ribosomal RNA, 324 nt
Filed under: uncultured eukaryote
Lineage: Eukaryota
Description: partial 18S ribosomal RNA
Rfam family: Eukaryotic small subunit ribosomal RNA
Source: RNAcentral